ACAACCAGUUGCAUACGAUCACCGUAGUUAAGCAAGGUCGGGCCUGGUCGGUUCUUAGAUGGGUGACCGCUUAGGAAUACCAGGUACUGUAA
This 92-nucleotide ribosomal RNA is filed under the name Acanthosepion pharaonis. Lineage: Eukaryota; Metazoa; Mollusca; Cephalopoda; Sepiida; Sepiidae. The record is from RNAcentral.